This 77-nucleotide transfer RNA is filed under the name Phytoplasma sp. RNAcentral describes it as "Candidatus Phytoplasma sp. tRNA-Ile". The stretch from base 1 to 54 matches the Rfam family "tRNA", at positions 19 to 71 of the family's 71-position model. From Rfam's summary of the family: Transfer RNA (tRNA) molecules are approximately 80 nucleotides in length. The record is from RNAcentral. Lineage: Bacteria; Bacillati; Mycoplasmatota; Mollicutes; Acholeplasmatales; Acholeplasmataceae.
UAGAGCACACGCCUGAUAAGCGUGAGGUCGGUGGUUCAAGUCCAUUUAGGCCCACCAUAACCACAAAUAGGCAAAAU